This 226-nucleotide ribosomal RNA is filed under the name uncultured bacterium. RNAcentral describes it as "partial 16S ribosomal RNA". It matches the Rfam family "Bacterial small subunit ribosomal RNA", at positions 538 to 763 of the family's 1533-position model. The record is from RNAcentral.
GCGUUAAUCGGAAUUACUGGGCGUAAAGGGUGCGUAGGUGGUUAAUUAAGUUAUCUGUGAAAUCCCUGGGCUCAACCUGGGCAGGUCAGAUAAUACUGGUUAACUCGAGUAUGGGAGAGGGUAGUGGAAUUUCCGGUGUAGCGGUGAAAUGCGUAGAGAUCGGAAGGAACACCAGUGGCGAAGGCGGCUACCUGGCCUAAUACUGACACUGAGGCACGAAAGCGUG